AGGAAUUCACACUUAUCGUAAAGAAUAUUUGACACCACUAGCAAAUGUAUGGUUCUAUUUCAUUCGAUUCAGCCUUAUGCCUAUUUCACAUGGUACUACAAUUUCAUUAGAGCAAAUGAUCUUAUUAUACUUGAUUUUAACUAGAAAGACCAUUGAUGUGGGAAAAAUCAUUCUAAGAGAAAUGCGAAAUUUUGCCGCUAAAGAUCUAGCCC
Molecule: long non-coding RNA, 212 nt
Filed under: Gossypium barbadense (sea-island cotton)
Lineage: Eukaryota; Viridiplantae; Streptophyta; Magnoliopsida; Malvales; Malvaceae
Description: long non-coding RNA (GBAR_LNC006429)
Source: RNAcentral